Molecule: small nucleolar RNA, 323 nt
Filed under: Tauraco erythrolophus (red-crested turaco)
Lineage: Eukaryota; Metazoa; Chordata; Aves; Musophagiformes; Musophagidae
Source: RNAcentral
GCUCGGUGAUGAUAUAAAGGCUAAUGUGACUCUACCAGUUGGGUUGCACCCUCAGCCCAUUCCGGUAAGACAGGUCUGUAAUCUUGGUGGACAACGCUGAGCCGUGCGUGUUCGCUGUAAGGGCAGGCCGACAGAAAAUCCCCUUCCCUGCGUCCCUGGAAAACACGUCUUCGGGAUGCGUCAGCUCUGAGCGAGUGUUUCCAUGAGCUGCCAAGGGGCAGUGGGGACAGGAUGGGGCAGCGCGUGCCAGGUUUGGGUUGCAGGGGGCAGCCCGUGUUGCAGCUGGUGAGAUGUGAGCACAAGUCUUUGGUAAUCUGAUGGCU